GACGAACGCUGGCGGCGUGCUUAACACAUGCAAGUCGAACGGAAAGGCCCUGCUUUUGUGGGGUGCUCGAGUGGCGAACGGGUGAGUAACACGUGAGUAACCUGCCCUUGACUUUGGGAUAACUUCAGGAAACUGGGGCUAAUACCGGAUAGGAGCUCCUGCUGCAUGGUGGGGGUUGGAAAGUUUCGGCGGUUGGGGAUGGACUCGCGGCUUAUCAGCUUGUUGGUGGGGUAGUGGCUUACCAAGGCUUUGACGGGUAGCCGGCCUGAGAGGGUGACCGGCCACAUUGGGACUGAGAUACGGCCCAGAAUCCUACGGGAGGCAGCAGUGGGGAAUAUUGCACAAUGGGCGGAAGCCUGAUGCAGCAACGCCGCGUGCGGGAUGACGGCCUUCGGGUUGUAAACCGCUUUCGCCUGUGACGAAGCGUGAGUGACGGUAAUAGGUAAAGAAGCACCGGCUAACUACGUG
Molecule: ribosomal RNA, 468 nt
Filed under: uncultured bacterium
Lineage: Bacteria
Description: partial 16S ribosomal RNA
Rfam family: Bacterial small subunit ribosomal RNA
Source: RNAcentral